RNAcentral lists this ribosomal RNA (555 nucleotides) under Melanobatrachus indicus (Kerala Hills frog). RNAcentral describes it as "partial 16S ribosomal RNA". It matches the Rfam family "Bacterial large subunit ribosomal RNA", at positions 1817 to 2597 of the family's 2925-position model. The record is from RNAcentral. Lineage: Eukaryota; Metazoa; Chordata; Amphibia; Anura; Microhylidae.
CGCCUCCUGCCACAACAUAGGAGGUCCAGCCUGCCCAGUGACAAGUUAAACGGCCGCGGUACCCUAACCGUGCGAAGGUAGCACAAUCACUUGUUCUUUAAAUGAGGACUAGUAUGAACGGCAUCACGAAGAUCACGCUGUCUCCCCCUUUUAAUCAGUGAAACUGAUCUCCUCGUGAAGAAGCGAGGAUAUUUCUAUAAGACGAGAAGACCCCAUGGAGCUUUAAACUCAGUAACACUUGCCUCUACACAUAUCAACUCAAUUAAGCAAUCAUGUAUACUAGUUUUAGGUUGGGGUGACCGCGGAGUAAAACAAAACCUCCACAAUAAACGGAACUAACUUCCUAAUCAAAGACCCACAACUCAAAGAAUCAAUAAAUUGACAUAAAUUGACCCAAUUAAUUUUGAUCAACGAACCUAGUUACCCUGGGGAUAACAGCGCAAUCCAUUUCAAGAGCUCCUAUCGACAAAUGGGUUUACGACCUCGAUGUUGGAUCAGGGUAUCCAAGUGGUGCAGCCGCUACUAAAGGUUCGUUUGUUCAACGAUUAAAACCCU